RNAcentral lists this ribosomal RNA (497 nucleotides) under uncultured bacterium. Its description in RNAcentral is "partial 16S ribosomal RNA". It matches the Rfam family "Bacterial small subunit ribosomal RNA", at positions 28 to 507 of the family's 1533-position model. The record is from RNAcentral.
GAUGAACGCUGGCGGCGUGCCUAAUACAUGCAAGUCGAGCGAACAGACGAGGAGCUUGCUCCUCUGACGUUAGCGGCGGACGGGUGAGUAACACGUGGAUAACCUACCUAUAAGACUGGGAUAACUUCGGGAAACCGGAGCUAAUACCGGAUAAUAUAUUGAACCGCAUGGUUCAAUAGUUAAAGACGGUUUUGCUGUUACUUAUAGAUGGAUCCGCGCCGCAUUAGCUAGUUGGUAAGGUAACGGCUUACCAAGGCGACGAUGCGUAGCCGACCUGAGAGGGUGAUCGGCCACACUGGAACUGAGACACGGUCCAGACUCCUACGGGAGGCAGCAGUAGGGAAUCUUCCGCAAUGGGCGAAAGCCUGACGGAGCAACGCCGCGUGAGUGAUGAAGGUCUUCGGAUCGUAAAACUCUGUUAUUAGGGAAGAACAAAUGUGUAAGUAACUAUGCACGUCUUGACGGUACCUAAUCAGAAAGCCACGGCUAACUACGUG